RNAcentral lists this long non-coding RNA (1355 nucleotides) under Anser brachyrhynchus (Pink-footed goose). Its description in RNAcentral is "lncRNA (ENSABRG00000004226.1)". The record is from RNAcentral. Lineage: Eukaryota; Metazoa; Chordata; Aves; Anseriformes; Anatidae.
GUCCUCUUCUAUCUGUUAUUCUAGCGGUGGAACUGACUCAGCACUCUGGCUGUUAGUAUUUGUUUCUCUUAAGAACUAAUGCAUGUUGAUGCUAAGACAAAUACAUGUUUCUGCAAGCCUCUUGUUCUGGAGUCUUUUCCAUAAUCUUAUUAGAUGUGGUAAUUUUUGAUGCUUUUUUCUCAGCUCCAGCUUCCUCUUUUAUAUAUAUUGGUGGAAGUGUAGAAAUUCCUAAUCUGACUUACACAAAUGAUCUCAAUGAUCCAAAAUCACAGAAAUUCCUCCUGCAAGCAGAAGCAAUCCAAAAUUAUUUUGCAGAAUCCUAUGAGUAUUCCACCUUGGGAAAGUACUACUUGAAAUCUGUAGUGGCUGCAUUCAGUGAAGGAGAGUAUGGACUUCGAGCUUACUACUGGAAUACAUUCUGGGCACCACAAGACAUUGUUGAUUCUCUUAAAAAGUUAACCUCAUUGGAACAAAAAGAAAUCAGUAGUAAACAAUUCCCUCACAUGUUCAGUACUUCUGGGGAGGAAGAUUUUGAUCUUGUUACAAUGGAGCUUUUUGGUAACAAUUUUCAGAUUCCACAGAAUAUGAUGCGAUGCUAAAAUCAGCGGUAUCCUUUGACCUGUAUGCCAAGCCAGGUAACAACAGAUCUCUAACUCUGAUGAAUCCCAAGAAGUCUUUUUAUCAAUGGAGGUUGCGAGUUCCUUCUAACUAUGUGGUGAGACUGGUAGUUACCACUUUGCAUGGUGUCGCUCCAGAGAACUGUGCAUCACACCGCUUAUCUGCAUAUGAUUUCCUUCUUCCUCUACAGAACAAGAUCAUCGCAAGGUAUGGUAGUACAGGACAAAGAUGUUUUUUGAGCUGUACAGAAAUUCUCUGAAACUGCAGAGUUUAAAAUUGAUGUUAAGCAGGCUUCCAAAACGUAAAAGCCUCCAAGUACAGCUUAAUUAAAAAUCUGUAAUAAGGUAAUCAAAAGAUCUUCCAUAUUAUCCACCCCCUAAUGACUUAUAACUCCAGCAUUUUUUUUUACAUUCUGACUGUUUUUUUUACAGUGUUUGAUUUCAUACAAUUAUUGAUACAAAGGUACUUUUUUUGUUAUUUUUUCUGUUACUUUCAGAAAAUACGUCCAGUCACAGGCAAACCUCUGUUGAAAACAGGCUUUUAUCUACAGAAGACUUCAUCCCCAAAGUCCCUUUGUAGUUCACUCACAUAAAUGAUAUCAGAUGAUCUUGUAAUCUUCAGCUACCACUGUUACUAUUCUUCCAGAGACUAAUUUUAUGAUUUUAAGUAUGGACGUUAUCCGCCAUGAAUCUGCCUUCAUUAAUAAAAUAAACUAACAAGUUUUAGAAUCUGAAAAU